UUCCUGCUAUGAGUGCACCAGCAGGAGGGAUCAUUACAGAGUUAUCUAACUCCCAAACCCAUGUGAACUUACCUUUGUUGCCUCGGCAGUUGUUGUUGGGCCAGCCUACCCUGGAGCGAGCUACCCUGUAGCGAGCUACCCUGGAACGGCCUACCCUGUAACGACUGCCGGUGGACUACUAAACUCUUGUUAUUUUUAAAGUAAUCUGAGCGUCUUAUUUUAAUAAGUCAAAACUUUCAACAACGGAUCUCUUGGUUCUGGCAUCGAUGAAGAACGCAGCGAAAUGCGAUAAGUAAUGUGAAUUGCAGAAUUCAGUGAAUCAUCGAAUCUUUGAACGCACAUUGCGCCCAUUAGUAUUCUAGUGGGCAUGCCUGUUCGAGCGUCAUUUCAACCCUUAAGCCUAGCUUAGUAUUGGGAAUCGACUGUACUGUCGUUCCUCAAAUUCAACGGCGGAUUUAUAGCAAUCUCUGAACGUAGUAAUUUUUACACCUCGUUUCUGAAAUGCUUUAAACCUCAGCCGCUAAACCCCCAAUUUUCUAUGGUUGACCUCGGAUCAGGUAGGAAUACCCGCUGAACUUAA
This is a ribosomal RNA of 580 nucleotides. The stretch from base 232 to 385 matches the Rfam family "5.8S ribosomal RNA".